UACAGAGGGGGCAAGCGUUAUUCGGAAUUAUUGGGCGUAAAGGGCGCGUAGGCGGCCUGGCAAGUGGAAGGUGAAAUCCCUCGGCUUAACCGAGGAACUGCCCUCCAAACUGCUUGGCUUGAGUCCGGGAGAGGUGAGUGGAAUUCCCAGUGUAGCGGUGAAAUGCGUAGAUAUUGGGAGGAACACCAGUGGCGAAGGCGGCUCUCUGGGACGGUACUGACGCUGAGACGCGAAAGCGUGGGGAGCGAACAGG
RNAcentral lists this ribosomal RNA (253 nucleotides) under uncultured bacterium. Its description in RNAcentral is "partial 16S ribosomal RNA". It matches the Rfam family "Bacterial small subunit ribosomal RNA", at positions 524 to 776 of the family's 1533-position model. The record is from RNAcentral.